Molecule: long non-coding RNA, 698 nt
Organism: Daphnia pulicaria
Lineage: Eukaryota; Metazoa; Arthropoda; Branchiopoda; Diplostraca; Daphniidae
Exons: 4
Source: RefSeq, a predicted model, not a curated record
CUGAUUACUUACCUGUUAACUUCAUCUUGUCAUGCCACUGAAUUUAAAUUUCGUUUACAUUUUAUUUCUUGAUCUAGCCAUUUAGGUAAUGACCGGGAAGAUGCGGCCUAUACAUGAACAUCAUUUAGGCGGCCAGCAUCAUUCGACUACCCAACCGAGUCUCAACACAGCACGGAGUUUUACACUUUAAAUAUUUGGCUGUUCGCAAUUUGUGAUGGCGUUUCCUUGGACGAGAUAUGAUUUGGCGAGAAAAAUAUUGCGGACGAUUUCAUGCUGUCCUUUACCAUGGACCAAUCUCUCAUUCCAUCUGAGAACUUUGGAUAACUGAUUGGUGGUUUCAUGUGUUUCUAAAUUGACAUGACAGACUUUAUGAGAAGUAAUGUCCUUUCAAGAAAGAAACAAGGUCCCUUGUUUGCUAAUCCAAUAGUUGCUACCCUUGAAUCUCCCCUUUUACUUCCUUAAACGGGCCCUCUUGAUUUGAGGGUAAUCCUUUGCUACUUAUUGUGGACUUCAACCAUUGCCUGGAAGCCUGUAAACCAACCUUGAGAGCAUGCUGUCAUUCAAGACUGUUUAAUUGUGUAGUUAGCUAAAUUGCAAGUGCAUAUCUGGGCUCCCUUCUUUUCUGUGGCCCCGUUUCCCUAACUAACCACUAACCAACGCCCGCCGGUGGUCACUCACCCGCUGUGAAACCAGGAGGA